Molecule: transfer RNA, 64 nt
Filed under: Spinactaletes boneti
Lineage: Eukaryota; Metazoa; Arthropoda; Collembola; Entomobryomorpha; Actaletidae
Description: tRNA-Cys
Source: RNAcentral
UGUUUAGUAGUCUAUUUUAAGAUUUAAAAUUGCAAAUUUUAAGAAAAGUCUUUCUUCUAAACUU